GCCGCUGUGGUGGAAUGGUAGACACGACGGAUUCAAAAUCCGUUACCUUCGGGUGUGCCGGUUCAAGUCCGGCCAGCGGUACCA
This 84-nucleotide transfer RNA is filed under the name Campylobacterales bacterium. RNAcentral's name for it is "tRNA-Leu". It matches the Rfam family "tRNA". Rfam says of the family: Transfer RNA (tRNA) molecules are approximately 80 nucleotides in length. Their secondary structure includes four short double-helical elements and three loops (D, anti-codon, and T loops). RNAcentral also lists the same sequence under 3 other names. Lineage: Bacteria; Pseudomonadati; Campylobacterota; Epsilonproteobacteria; Campylobacterales. The record is from RNAcentral.